This 301-nucleotide ribosomal RNA is filed under the name uncultured bacterium. RNAcentral describes it as "partial 16S ribosomal RNA". It matches the Rfam family "Bacterial small subunit ribosomal RNA", at positions 509 to 807 of the family's 1533-position model. The record is from RNAcentral.
CAGUCGCCGCGGUAAUACGUAGGGUGCAAGCGUUGUUCGGAAUUAUUGGGCGUAAAGGGUGCGUAGGCGGUUUCGUAAGUCUUAUGUGAAAUCUCUGGGCUCAACCCAGAGUCUGCAUGGGAAACUGCGAGGCUUGAGGAUGGGAGAGGUGAGUGGAAUUUCCGGUGUAGCGGUGAAAUGCGUAGAUAUCGGAAGGAACACCUGUGGCGAAAGCGGCUCACUGGACCAUUUCUGACGCUGAUGCACGAAAGCUAGGGGAGCAAACAGGAUUAGAUACCCCGGUAGUCCCUGUCUCUUAUAC